UCGAUGGGAAACAGGUUAAUAUUCCUGUACUUGGUGUUACUGCGAAGGGGGGACGGAGAAGGCUAUGUUAGCCGGGCGACGGUUGUCCCGGUUUAAGCAUGUAGGCUGGUUAUCCAGGCAAAUCCGGAUAAUCAAGGCUGAGGUGUGAUGACGAAGCACUACGGUGCUGAAGUAACAAAUGCCCUGCUUCCAGGAAAAGCCUCUAAGCAUCAGGUAACAUCAAAUCGUACCCCAAACCGACACAGGUGGUCAGGUAGAGAAUACCAAGGCGCUUGAGAGAACUCGGGUGAAGGAACUAGGCAAAAUGGUGCCGUAACUUCGGGAGAAGGCACGCUGGUGUGUAGGUGAAG
RNAcentral lists this ribosomal RNA (350 nucleotides) under Klebsiella quasipneumoniae subsp. similipneumoniae. RNAcentral describes it as "partial 23S ribosomal RNA". It matches the Rfam family "Bacterial large subunit ribosomal RNA", at positions 1415 to 1767 of the family's 2925-position model. Lineage: Bacteria; Pseudomonadati; Pseudomonadota; Gammaproteobacteria; Enterobacterales; Enterobacteriaceae. The record is from RNAcentral.